Long non-coding RNA from Pongo pygmaeus (Bornean orangutan), 611 nucleotides. RefSeq lists it as uncharacterized. NCBI's taxonomy places the organism in Eukaryota, Metazoa, Chordata, Mammalia, Primates, Hominidae. The record is from RefSeq and is a predicted model, not a curated record. The transcript has 4 exons.
UGGGAGCCAUUUUCUCGGCGUGCCCUCCCCUUUCCUGGAGGGAUCAGCGCCAUUUAGGGGGCUUUCUGUGGGCUUCCCCAGUGGGCAUGGGUGGGAAGGUGGCAUUCAGCAUCCUCAGAAUGACGGAGCUUUGAAGGGAUGUGCCGACUCCAUUCUGGGCCCAGGCUGUGAAAUUGGGAGAAGUGGCCACAUCAUCACUGUGAGGUGUCAUGCGAGCAUUUUGUAUGCGGAGCUUCAUUGAAAUCUCACAUCAACCUGAUAGGAAGACGUCAUCACGCCUACUUUAUCGACAGGAAAACUAAAAUCUCCAAGAAGGGAAUUGACUUGACCAAGGUAACCGAUUGGUGAAAGAAGCCCCGGAGAGGCCCACACACUGGCCCACAGCCAUGUGGAGUGAACCGGAAACUCAGUCUUGCACGGAGCUCUACAAGGCCUCCUUCGCUCGCCUCCCGGAACGAGCCUGCCAGGGUAGAUGGAUCACUCCUGAAGUCCCCCCACCCGCCAGCCGCACUACAUCGAGGCUUCAAUUAGCCGAAUGUGUUCCACGUUCCAGGGACAGAACAGCGCUGAGCCUCUGUGAGAUCUUCCGCCACGAUCUGCGCUCACGUAUG